CGCGCACGUCCUUAAAAGAAAGAGAAUUGCAACAAAUUGCAAUCAGUUGCAAAUCUUGAGGUUGAAAAGCGGAUGCAAUUUCCGGCGUGUGCA
This 93-nucleotide non-coding RNA is filed under the name unclassified sequences. RNAcentral's name for it is "RAGATH-21 RNA". It matches the Rfam family "RAGATH-21 RNA". From Rfam's summary of the family: Clostridiales (Firmicutes). Nearby to self-cleaving ribozyme genes The record is from Rfam by way of RNAcentral.